UGUGUAGGGAGGAGAAAGAAAGGCAAGAAAUGGGAUAAGGGAUUAAGGUUGAAACUAGGACUCCUGGUUUGCACAUUUUACAGACCAUUGCUUAAUCCUUGCCCUCAGAGACCAUACUGAUAGGAGACAAAAACUGAUACAGGCAAGCCUGGUCCCCAUUUAAGGACUUGAUGCUGGGCUUUCUGAAAAGACAGAGUCACCAAUUCACACUGAGCUUCUAUCAAAUCCCUACAUUACCCCCCCUCCCCCCCCCCACACUCAUUUUUUAAAAAAUGAGGUGGAGCAGAAGAGAGGAUUAAGAUGGAAACACACGACAAUCCCGCCUACACUUCCCCUUUAAAACGGUAUGGUUUAAUAAGAGCGUGUUGUUAAUUUCAGUUAUUUACAACACCAAAGCUGAUUAACACAAAAGAAGCCGGAGAAAAGCCGGAGAGACCAGAAACAAUUUCGAUUUUUGUUUCUCUGGACAACAGACACAGAGAGACCCCGGAAGAGGAAUUUUAUUUCCUUCUCUGUAGUAUCUGGCAGAUGAAUUUAUCAGAAAAAAAAAAAAAAAAAGGCCACUUGGCCUAGAAGGCCAAGAGGGAUUGAAAAUGGCUUCCUGCCAUUAGCUCCAGCUCCGGAAGAACGCAUGCGCCAAUUAGAGCAUCAAAGCCCUCUCUGCAGAGCUCGUUUCCAUAAAAUGGAGCGGAUCGCAAACAAUAACAGUUCUCCAGAAACUGCCUCCCUGCUACAGGACUCAACCCCCAAGCCCAUACACUCGUUCACACUGCUCACACUAUACCCGAAUCCACUACUGCCACUGCUAUCAUUUCCUUUACAUGUAAUUCUCGGGGGGGGGGGGG
Molecule: long non-coding RNA, 845 nt
Organism: Neofelis nebulosa (Clouded leopard)
Lineage: Eukaryota; Metazoa; Chordata; Mammalia; Carnivora; Felidae
Exons: 3
Source: RefSeq, a predicted model, not a curated record